GACGAACGCUGGCGGCGUGCUUAACACAUGCAAGUCGAACGGAAAGGCCCUGCUUUUGUGGGGUGCUCGAGUGGCGAACGGGUGAGUAACACGUGAGUAACCUGCCCUUGACUUUGGGAUAACUUCAGGAAACUGGGGCUAAUACCGGAUAGGAGCUCCUGCUGCAUGGUGGGGGUUGGAAAGUUUCGGCGGUUGGGGAAGGACUCGCGGCUUAUCAGCUUGUUGGUGGGGUAGUGGCUUACCAAGGCUUUGACGGGUAGCCGGCCUGAGAGGGUGACCGGCCACAUUGGGACUGAGAUACGGCCCAGACUCCUACGGAAGGCAGCAGUGGGGAAUAUUGCACAAUGGGCGGAAGCCUGAUGCAGCAACGCCGCGUGCGGGAUGACGGCCUUCGGGUUGUUAACCGCUUUCGCCUGUGACGAAGCGUGAGUGACGGUAAUGGGUAAAGAAGCACCGGCUAACUACGUG
This 468-nucleotide ribosomal RNA is filed under the name uncultured bacterium. RNAcentral describes it as "partial 16S ribosomal RNA". It matches the Rfam family "Bacterial small subunit ribosomal RNA", at positions 28 to 507 of the family's 1533-position model. The record is from RNAcentral.